Molecule: ribosomal RNA, 492 nt
Filed under: uncultured bacterium
Lineage: Bacteria
Description: partial 16S ribosomal RNA
Rfam family: Bacterial small subunit ribosomal RNA
Source: RNAcentral
AGUGAACGCUGGCGGUAGGCCUAACACAUGCAAGUCGAACGGCAGCACAGUAAGAGCUUGCUCUUACGGGUGGCGAGUGGCGGACGGGUGAGGAAUACAUCGGAAUCUACUUUUUCGUGGGGGAUAACGUAGGGAAACUUAUGCUAAUACCGCAUACGACCUACGGGUGAAAGCAGGGGAUCUUCGGACCUUGCGCGAUUGAAUGAGCCGAUGUCGGAUUAGCUAGUUGGCGGGGUAAAGGCCCACCAAGGCGACGAUCCGUAGCUGGUCUGAGAGGAUGAUCAGCCACACUGGAACUGAGACACGGUCCAGACUCCUACGGGAGGCAGCAGUGGGGAAUAUUGGACAAUGGGCGCAAGCCUGAUCCAGCCAUACCGCGUGGGUGAAGAAGGCCUUCGGGUUGUAAAGCCCUUUUGUUGGGAAAGAAAAGCAGCAGGUUAAUACCCCGCUGUUCUGACGGUACCCAAAGAAUAAGCACCGGCUAACUCCGUG